Molecule: long non-coding RNA, 1331 nt
Organism: Dreissena polymorpha
Lineage: Eukaryota; Metazoa; Mollusca; Bivalvia; Myida; Dreissenidae
Exons: 4
Source: RefSeq, a predicted model, not a curated record
UAUGGACGAUGGUCCACCGUCGCCCAACUAAAAAUAGCAUGUAAAACCAAGUAUGCGCAUGCUCAGUGGCGGGCGCAGUAAAUGGUUAAAGUGAAAGUAGAUGUCGCCGCCAUUUUGAGUGGUUGGUAAACUGUGGUUUGUGUCCAAAUAAUUAGACGACACCAAACGCAAAGCCUAUCCCAAGGCAAUGCCCCAUUUGCGUGGUAAAAGGCAACACGACUGUGUACCUCCGGGUAACAGACCACGUUCGCUGGGUGCAAGCCCUGACGGCAGACCCCAUGAAACCGUUGAUGUCAGAGGCACGUGCUAAGACGGUCGGAAAGUGAAGAAGACAAAGCCGAGGAAUUGCUACUCUUGCUGGCUGUGCGACCGGUCGGUGAUUGACCGGCUGCGUCAUCUAGAACAGGAGCACAAAAUGGAGGCUGGGACAUUCAAUUUUGUUUACACAAGAGGGCCGUUUCCGGAAAGUCGCGAAAACUUCAGGAAAGGUGACCAGCAGACUCGCCACUCAAGAUGACUCGGCAUAGGAGGAUGAGAAGGUGGAGGAUGAGGAGGAGGAGGAAGAGGACUUUUCAUUCCUAACGCGGAAAUACUGCCUGAGCCUGGAACCCAAUGCAAGGGUGAUGCAUGGUCGGAGAAGCUGCAAUUUCAAUCGUUGACUCAUAUGUAGACUACAUGUUCCUGCGGAGCAGGCCAGGUGGGUUGGCAAACGAGUCGAAAACACAAGAGGUCAACAUGAAGAUCAACCGGUUCCUGGCCCUGUCUGGCUACUUGGAAGGAGUGGUGUUGAGUGACGUGCUGUUGUGGAUGGGCCAUAUGGAGGUCCACGACAGUUCCCAACACCACUCACCAGCUGAAGACGGUGCGGAAUGCUCUAACGGCAAUCAAGAACUUCCUGAAGUGGUGCGAGGGAAUGGUCUAGCGGACGCCCGCACAUUGAACAAUGUAAGCGUAAACUUAGGAUUUGAUUUAUGUAAAUUAUUCAUUCUUCUUGGACAUCUACUUAUUAAUGUUUUGGCGUUGGCGUCUUUCUGUCUGUUCUUCCGUCCAUCUUUCCGUCCGUCCAGCACUUUUGUGUCGAGAGCCAUAUCUUGAAAGUGCUUUGGCCGAUUUCAUUGAAACUUGGUAUGAGUAUAUAUAUGGAUAAGAGGACGAUGCACGCCAAAUGGCAUUGUACACAGUCUGUUAAUAACGGGGUUUUGGCCCUUUGUAUCUUGAAGCUUUUUUGAGUGUCAAACAUAACACUUUUGUGUCCAGAAGCAUAUUGGCGGGGGAUAUCAAUUCAACAAAUUUGCUUGUUUAGCUUUAUUUUUUUUCGGCCGAUCUCCUUC